RNAcentral lists this ribosomal RNA (616 nucleotides) under uncultured Lachnospiraceae bacterium. Its description in RNAcentral is "bacterial SSU rRNA". It matches the Rfam family "Bacterial small subunit ribosomal RNA", at positions 66 to 694 of the family's 1533-position model. The record is from RNAcentral. Lineage: Bacteria; Bacillati; Bacillota; Clostridia; Lachnospirales; Lachnospiraceae.
GCUUAGAUUCUUCGGAUGAAGAGGAUUGUGACUGAGCGGCGGACGGGUGAGUAACGCGUGGGUAACCUGCCUCAUACAGGGGGAUAACAGUUAGAAAUGACUGCUAAUACCGCAUAAGACCACAGCACCGCAUGGUGCGGGGGUAAAAACUCCGGUGGUAUGAGAUGGACCCGCGUCUGAUUAGCUAGUUGGUAAGGUAACGGCUUACCAAGGCGACGAUCAGUAGCCGACCUGAGAGGGUGACCGGCCACAUUGGGACUGAGACACGGCCCAAACUCCUACGGGAGGCAGCAGUGGGGAAUAUUGCACAAUGGGGGAAACCCUGAUGCAGCGACGCCGCGUGAGCGAAGAAGUAUUUCGGUAUGUAAAGCUCUAUCAGCAGGGAAGAGAAUGACGGUACCUGACUAAGAAGCACCGGCUAAAUACGUGCCAGCAGCCGCGGUAAUACGUAUGGUGCAAGCGUUAUCCGGAUUUACUGGGUGUAAAGGGAGCGUAGACGGAUGGGCAAGUCUGAUGUGAAAACCCGGGGCUCAACCCCGGGACUGCAUUGGAAGCUGUUCAUCUAGAGUGCUGGAGAGGUAAGUGGAAUUCCUAGUGUAGCGGUGAAAUGCGUAGA